AAACUUCAAUUUAAUCACACCAUGAAACAAUUAUCACUAGCAUGAGAAUGAAGCAUGAUAUCAAGAUGAUCAGCAAUUAAAGGUUUAAUCAUGCUACCAUAUAAUUUCAGACUAUUGAUUUUGCUCAACUAACUCACAAGAGAAGAGUUUAGAUUACCAGUGCAUUUAGCAUUCUUCAAGCCAAAUAUCUUUUGGAUUCUUUACACCCUUGGCUGAAGAAAAUCUCUCCUUUUUUUUGUUUGCAAGGGAAUGUUUAUUGUAUCUUUCAUCGAUGUGUCCUUCAAGUUAAAAUUUCUUGCUCAUGAAUUCUGUAUCAUUAGCAAAAUCUUUUUCUUUUCUUGAAGGCAAUUCAUUAGGUUCUCUAGGAUACAAAAACAUUCAUACAACAUAUUUCUUAACUAGAUGACUCAACAUGAGACAUGACAAUAAUUGAAUUUGAG
RNAcentral lists this long non-coding RNA (440 nucleotides) under Phoenix dactylifera (date palm). RNAcentral's name for it is "long non-coding RNA (PDAC_LNC009128)". Lineage: Eukaryota; Viridiplantae; Streptophyta; Magnoliopsida; Arecales; Arecaceae. The record is from RNAcentral.